GGGUGGGUGAGGAGAGUAUCCUAAGGCCAGCGAGAGAACUAUUGUUAAGGAACUCGGCAAAAUGACCCCGUAACUUAGGGAGAAGGGGUGCCUGUCUAUGACAGGCCGCAGAGAAUAGGCCCAAGCGACUGUUUACCAAAAACACAGGUUUCUGCUAAGUCGCAAGACGAUGUAUAGGAGCUGACGCCUGCCCGGUGCUGGAAGGUUAAGGGGAUCUGUUAGAGCAAUCGAAGCAGUGAACUUAAGCCCCAGUAAACGGCGGCCGUAACAAUAACGGUCCUAAGGUAGCGAAAUUCCUUGUCGGGUAAGUUCCGACCCGCACGAAAGGCGUAACGAUUUGGGCACUGUCUCAACAAUAGACUCGGUGAAAUUGUAAUCCCGGUGAAGAUGCCGGGUACCUGCGACAGGACGGAAAGACCCCAUGGAGCUUUACUGUAGCUUGACGUUGGGUCUUGGUACUACAUGUACAGGAUAGGUGGGAGACUAUGAAGCAUGGACGCCAGUCUGUGUGGAGUCAUCCUUGGGAUACCACCCUUGUAGUACUGGGAUCCUAACCAUAGGCCUUGAAUCAGGUCUUGGAACACCGUCAGGUGGGCAGUUUGACUGGGGCGGUCGCCUCCUAAAAAGUAACGGAGGCGCUCAAAGGUUUCCUCAGCACGGUCGGAAAUCGUGCGAAGAGUGUAAAGGCAAAAGGAAGCUUGAUUGCAAGACAUACAGGUCGAGCAAGGACGAAAGUCGGACUUAGUGAUCCGGUGGUACCGCAUGGAAGGGCCAUCGCUCAACGGAUAAAAGCUACCCUGGGGAUAACAGGCUUAUCUCCCCCAAGAGUCCACAUCGACGGGGAGGUUUGGCACCUCGAUGUCGGCUCAUCACAUCCUGGGGCUGUAGUAGGUCCCAAGGGUUGGGCUGUUCGCCCAUUAAAGUGGUACGCGAGCUGGGUUCAGAACGUCGUGAGACAGUUCGGUCCCUAUCCGUCGCAGGCGUAGGAAAUUUGAGAAGACCUGUCCUUAGUACGAGAGGACCGGGAUGGACGUACCUCUGGUGUACCAGUUGUUCUGCCAAGGGCAUGGCUGGGUAGCUAUGUACGGAAUGGAUAAGCGCUGAAAGCAUCUAAGCGCGAAGCCAACUUCAAGAUAAGAUUUCCCACCGUAAGGGUAAGACCCCAGGAAGACUACCUGGUUGAUAGGUCGAAGGUGUAAGUGCAGUAAUGUAUUUAGCUUAUCGAUACUAAUAGGUCGAGGACUUGACC
RNAcentral lists this ribosomal RNA (1249 nucleotides) under metagenome. RNAcentral's name for it is "bacterial LSU rRNA". It matches the Rfam family "Bacterial large subunit ribosomal RNA", at positions 1661 to 2925 of the family's 2925-position model. The record is from RNAcentral.